This 646-nucleotide long non-coding RNA is filed under the name Elaeis guineensis (African oil palm). RNAcentral describes it as "long non-coding RNA (EGUI_LNC041908)". The record is from RNAcentral. Lineage: Eukaryota; Viridiplantae; Streptophyta; Magnoliopsida; Arecales; Arecaceae.
CUAAUUAUCUCUAAGUGUACAUGUGGAAUAGAUGGAAGAUUGGGUAGUGCCUUCCAUCUCUUUUGGCAAGAAUUGGGCAUCAAAUCCUAAAGGGGCCUGUCCCCUCUCAUGUGGCAUGGUGUGGAGGAGAGAGAGGUGGGGCCACAUCUCUUCUUAUUUGGAUAGAAACCUUAUUAUGGGGUGCCAAGAGAUGGCGCCCCAACUACCUGACAUGUAAUCCUAGUGUGCCUCUUGUAUAUGCUUAAAGGGGCUGAUCAUAUAUCAUUUAUAUCUGAUUUUAAUUAAAAUAAAUCAUAUUAAAAAGGUAGAAGAUUUUUAUUAGAUAAGGAUCUACCUUUUUAAGAUAAUUAGGUUCCUAUUAUAUGUCAGGAUAGUGCCUAUAUAAAGGGUAUAUCUCUAGAAUUUCUAGGUAAUUGAUUUUUGAUGAAAAAUCUCUCUCUCUUCCUUCUCUACGCCUUCUCUCCUCCCUCUUUUCUCUUCCAUGCCCAAGAGUUGGGCAUCCCCUUUUUCACACGCCAAGAAGUGCUGCUUUGUCUUCAAGAUUGAAGAUCAAGGAGAAGAAGAAAGCUACUGUCAAGGAGUUGAUCCUGCAGUCCAGAUCAAGGUGUUGAUCAAAGUGUUCAAGGUUAAAAUUCUUCUUGAAAAG